This 2164-nucleotide ribosomal RNA is filed under the name Sphenomonas quadrangularis. Its description in RNAcentral is "SSU rRNA". It matches the Rfam family "Eukaryotic small subunit ribosomal RNA". The record is from RNAcentral. Lineage: Eukaryota; Euglenozoa; Stavomonadea; Petalomonadida; Sphenomonadidae.
AUCUGGUUGAUCCUGCCAGUCGCAUAUGCUUGUUUCGAGGAUUAAGCCAUGCAAGUGCCAGAGUAACUGGCUUGAGAGGAGGUCUGCGUACGGCUCAUUAAAUCGUCAAUUAUCUACCCGGCGGAGUGCAGGCUUGUACUGCACCAGUUGGAUAACUCUGGUAACUCCAGAGCUAAUACACGUACGACCGAGUUCGCACCCGCUUAAACCCCGAGGGGAAACCCAAGGGGUGGGUGUGGACUGCCGUUGGCCGGCAUGAAAACCAAUGCCCGCAAGGGCAGCAGUCCAGACCGCCGAGCCAGGCCAACCUAGCGAAAGCGCACGCCCUCGAGGCGGCGCGGCGCCGGACGAAUUUAUGCCCUAUCAGCUUCGAUGGUAGGGUAGUGGCCUACCAUGGCGUUGACGGGUAACGGGGAAUUGGGGUUCGAUUCCGGAGAGGGUGCCUAAGAAAUGGCAGCCAUACCUAAGGGAAGCAGCAGGCGCGCAAAUUGCCCACUGCCAACCCUGGUGAGGCAGCGAAGAAAAAUAGCAACUUUACUGCGCAUACGCGCGGUGAAGAUUGCAAUGGGUUGUUCUCAAACCCCCUGCCGAGUAUCAAUUGGAGGGCAAGCCCGGUGCCAGCAGCUGCGGUAAUUCCGGCUCCAAUAGCAUAUAUGAAUGUUGUUGCGGUUAAAAAGCUCGUAGUUGGAUUCAGGGUUCCAGAUGGCUGUGGGGAGUCCGCGCUGGCCCGGCGGGCGUGCCCCCCUUUCGGGGGGAGCCGUCCGUCGUGCCGCGCGGGAGAAACCUCCCCACGCUCGGCCAUCGCCCUCGUCAUGUGGAACAAGUCGCCCGGCCCGAAGCCCACUUCACUGGGGGUGGAGGGCACCCUUCGCAGUGCACGCCCGGGGCUCGCCCCGGCGAUACUGCCUACGGGCUGUCCACAGCAGUUACUGUGAGUAAAACAGAGUGCUCAAGGCGACCGACUCGUUCGGUUCGAAUGAGGCAGCAUGGAAUAACAAGGGAUCGUCCGCUUUGGCGGCGCCUUUUGUUGGUUUUCGAGCCCCAGUGAGGCAAUGCGGUGCAGGCGGCUCUCUCCGGGGGUCCGGGGUCGCCCUCGGGCGGCCCCGCUCCCGGCAGGAGCCCCUGCACCAUUGGGAUCAAUAGGGGCAGAUGGGGAACUCCGUACUGCGUGGCGAGGGGUGAAAUCCUUAGACCCACGCAAGACGAACCUCAGCGAAGGCAGUGUUCCAAUCUGCCUUCAUUAAUCAAGAACGAGAGUAAGGGGAUCGAAGAUGAUCAGAUACCGUCGUAGUCCUUUACCGUAAAUUAUGCGGACUUGGGGUCGGUCGCUGUUCUCUCUAGCGACUCGAUCGGUACCUCCCUUGGAUCGAGAAAUCAAAGUUUAUGCGUUCCGGGGGGAGUACAUUCGCAAGGCUGAAACUUAAAGGAAUUGACGGAAUGACACCACCAGACGUGGAGUGUGUGGCUUAAUUUGACUCAACACGGGAAAUCUCACCAGGUCAGGACAUGGUCAGGAUAGCCAGACUGAGAGCUCUUGCUUGAUCCCAUGGAGGGUGGUGCAUGGCCGUUCUUGGUUGGUGGAGUGAUUUGUCUGCUUAAUUGCGUUAACGAACGAGAUCUCUGCCAAUAAAUAGACGCCAUCUCCGCGUCGUAGGCGGGGGGCCCCCGGACCGCGGGUUCGCUCGCGGCCCCGGGGGAUCCAUCCCCCGCUGAGGAGAUGGGAUGCUUACUUAUUGGGAUCAUGCACUCUUCCAAGUGCAUUGAAACUAGAGCCAAUAGCAGGUCUGUGAUGCUCCUUAUAUGUUCUGGGCUGCACGCGCACUACACUGGUCCGGACAACGAGUCAUCGUUCCGUACGCCCUGGGUUGAAGAGCCCGGGAAAUCUUUGAAGCCCGGACCGUGAUGGGGAUAGAUGAUUGCAAUUAUUCCUCUUGAACGAGGAAUGUCUCGUAGGUGCGUCUCAUCAGGACGUACCGAUUAUGUCCCUGCCAUUUGUACACACCGCCCGUCGUUGCUACCGAUUGGUUUGCGAAUAGAACCAUUUGGAGUGCUGCCCCGCAGGGCCUCGGCCCGAAGGGCGGCGCGAAAUCUGGUGAUAUUCACAAACUAGAGGAAGCAAAAGUCGUAACAAGGUUGCUGUAGGUGAACCUGCAGCAGGAUCAUU